GUCGAAACGACUCUCUGCAACGGAUAUUCGGCUCUCGCAUCGAUGAAGAACGUAGCGAAAUGCGAUACUUGGUUGAAUGCAGAAUUCCGUGAACCAUCGUUGCAAGUUGCGCCCGCAUGGAGCACGUCUGCCUGCGUCACGCUGCGUCGC
RNAcentral lists this ribosomal RNA (150 nucleotides) under Physacanthus nematosiphon. RNAcentral's name for it is "5.8S ribosomal RNA". The stretch from base 9 to 141 matches the Rfam family "5.8S ribosomal RNA". Rfam says of the family: 5.8S ribosomal RNA (5.8S rRNA) is a component of the large subunit of the eukaryotic ribosome. It is transcribed by RNA polymerase I as part of the 45S precursor that also contains 18S and 28S rRNA. Functionally, it is thought that 5.8S rRNA may be involved in ribosome translocation. Lineage: Eukaryota; Viridiplantae; Streptophyta; Magnoliopsida; Lamiales; Acanthaceae. The record is from RNAcentral.